Long non-coding RNA from Anolis carolinensis (green anole), 2854 nucleotides. RefSeq lists it as uncharacterized. NCBI's taxonomy places the organism in Eukaryota, Metazoa, Chordata, Lepidosauria, Squamata, Anolidae. The record is from RefSeq and is a predicted model, not a curated record. The transcript is spliced from 5 exons.
ACAAAAGAGGGAAGAAGUGAGGUUCUAUACGGGGUGAACUGCGCAUGCGCGUAAGUGUGCCGCGGCGUGCAGCGCCCGCUCCUCUUUUGACUGCGCAUGCGUCAAGGCGAGCUGCAUCAGGCGCUCUCCAGAACAGUGGAAGAAGAGCAGAGAGGGACCAAAUUAGUUUCCUGUGGAUGAAGGUUCACUACAUGGGAGCAGUAACCAAGGACUUUAUUCCACCAGAUGGUUGCGCUAGAGGCUGGAGGAGGCAAUCCUGUGUGGUGUGGGAGUGACAACAAAAUACAUUUGAGAGGACCAAGUAGCAGAUGAAAAAUAUUGGAAAAAUAUACCCAUACUCCAGCAGAAGAGAGGCGAUAUCUCAGGAUGAAAGCCAGGACAUGUAUGGCUGAGCAGCAUCAAAGUGUGGACAAAAGCAUUUGGGCAGGCAACAAAAGGACACGAGUUAAUAAAGAGGAAGAACACACAAAAGUGCUGUUGUUUUUGUUGUUGUAGUUUAUGUACUGAGUUCAGGAAAUCCUGAAAAGAACAAAAAACCUGGAAUCAAUCGAUACAAUGCUCUCCCUUUCUCGGUUCCUCACCCCCACGCCCCAUAUGAUAACUUUCCAACAUUGUAGACAUUUCCAAUUACAGUAAUUUAUAGUCAUCUCGCUUUCUCUGACCUCUUCUACUUCCAUAUAAAAUACAGAUUCUCUGUUUUCAACUGGAUUAUUUGGUAGUGUAGACUCAUAUAAUCCAGUUCAAAGCAGAUAAUGUGGAUUAUCUGUUUUGAUAAUCUGGAUUAUAUGGCAGUGUAGAAGGGGCUUCAACUGCUUUAGUAAUGUCCCAGUUUUUCUCUUUGCCUCCCACUUUCCCUCUUUGUGGACAGCUUAUUUCAAUGGCAGCAGACUGAGCUCAAAAUGCAAAAGCAGUUUGUACUCCAUUUAGCACAGGGGGAGAGAAAGAAAGGAGUGGAGUCUUGCUCUUCACUGUAAAUUCAAGAAAAAACAAACUACAGCCUCUCCUACCUUUUGUGUUUGUCCCCAUUGCACUCACCCCAGUUUUCAUCUGUAAAAUGUUGAAGGGUACAGAUAUAACAUUUAAACUGUAGAUCAGAAGAUUCCACCUGAACAUCAGGAAGAACUUCCUCACUGUGAGGGCUGUUCGACAGUGGAACUCUCUGCCCCGGACUGUGGUGGAGGCUUCUUCUUUGGAGGCUUUUAAGCAGAGGCUGGAUGGCCAUCUGUCGGGGGUGCUUUGAAUGCGAUUUCCUGCUUCUUAGCGGGGGGUUGGACUGGAUGGCCCAUGAGGUCUCUUCCAACUCUACUAUUCUAUGAUUCUAUGAUUCUAUGAUUCUAUUACAAAAUACCUUAUUUCCCCAUUGCUAGUCCUGGAAAAUCCAGCAAGACGUACAGUAGGCCCUCCACAUUUGCUGGGGUUAGGGGCACAGAAAUCCUAAUUGUAAUUAAAAAAAAAACACUGUAUUUUGUAACCUAAGAAAACACCUUUCUAGGAAUGCCUGAGUCCCCUAGCACGAUUCUGUGGUCAGCGUAUGCCAGAAGUUGAUAUGGAGUCCUGUUGGAUGGCCUAGAGAUUCCUAGAGAAAAAACAUCUUAAUUCAAUCCACACCGGUUAUAACCACAAAUAUUAAGGGCUGACUCUAUUGAUCAUAACUAUUAUGGAGAAGCACCUCCCUUGAUUUUCCAGUUUAAAAUGUAAUGCAACUUAGAUGUACAAUGGAAGAUCAUGAUGGUUUUUUAUAGUUAUGGAUUAUGGCAUUUCCCCCGUUGCCAUAGUUCCUUCCUCAUAUUUCUGCAAACACAUACCCUGUAAACUUGCUUUAUUCAAAUAUGUGGGUUUUACAAAUAGAGAUGACGAGACUUGGUUGAAUAGACAGAGUUGCAAGGUUCUGGGCUAUGCCAGAGUUCCCUGUGAACUCCAAAGAAUUCCCCAACUUUGCCUAAAGCAGAGCAAAGCCAGAUUAAGGCAAGAAAACCCAGUAUAUUCAGUAGAAAUUCUUGUCUAUCAUGGCGAUAGCCAGUGGUAGAUUUAUUACUUUAGACAAUCCCCUAGUAUGUCUAAGGCCCCAUCUGCACCGCCAUGUAAUGCAGUUUGAACUGUAUUACUCGUAUAAUCAUCAGCGUCGACUCAUAGAAUGCAGAUUGAACCACAUUGAUCUUUGUGACUGUGUUUCCCCCUAUGAACCUGCACAAUCUCUUUGGUCAGCUGGGGAGGCCUUUUUCUCGUUCCCGCCCCCAUUGCAAGCUCGGCUGGUGGAAACGAAGGAGCGGACCUUCUCGGUUGUGGCCCCCCGGAUCUUGAACCUCCCUCGGUUGUGGCCCUCCCUUCCUAUGGAGAUCAGGCAGGCACCCAUCCUAGCAUCUUUUAAAAAGGAAUUAAAAACUUGGUUCUUCUGGUGCGCUUUUGCAUAACCUAGUCCCCAUGAUCUAAAUUUUAAAAAUCAAUGCAUUAUUUUUCACACUGUUCCACCUUCCCCUAUUUUUAACUGGACGUCCUUCCUCACUCCAGCUGUUGAGAAAUGCUCACACUUUGUCCUUUUCACCCUGAAGCACUUUAUAAUAUACUAGCUGUGCCCGGCCACGCGUUGCUGUGGCUUAGUCUGGUGGUGUUGUUCAGUCUACAUUAGGUUGUAUUGAUGCUGUGACCUCCACCCUUCUUUAUACUCACAUUAGUAGUAGUAUUUGAAGUCUGUUACCUUCUUCAAUUUUUGUCUUGAUUGAUAAUUGCUUGAGAUCCCUGUUGUCUUUGGUUUGUUGUUAGUUGUAAUGUCUGAUUCUGCUGAGUGCGGUUUAUAUUUUUAUUGUGGUACAAUAGUCUUUUUUUGUUUUGCCUGUGUAGGUGUUUAUUAUUGUUG